GACGGAAAACUGCAACGGAGCGCAGGAGUGUACUGGCCGCUUGUACCGCUCAGUCCUUCACCCUCACCGAGGAGGUCUGCUAGCUGUGGAAGUGAAGAGGCACGGCCGUGCUGGAGUUUCCCAAGAAUCCCAGGAAGGACAAAGAGAGUCAACAUGAGGUCCAUUGUGAAGCACCAUGGAUUUACCUGAGUUGCAGGACUACGGUCACAUUUUAGGGAAGGAAAGCCAGGGGGAAAAGGAAUCUUGUCUAGCACGAGGUCCCUAGGAGUCUGGAAAGAAAGCUGGGGGCUGAUCACUCUCAAAAAUGUUCCAGGGUUGCUGCCCAAACCUCUGCCAAGGUAUUCGAGGAAAGAAGGCAGCAGGGGUCGACCUUCCAGCAACGCUCUCCAUGUUCAUGACCUCUGUUAUCUGCUGCCAACCUGGCCUGUCUUUCAGAAGUGACCUAUGACGUGAACAUGUCUGUCAAGUGAAUCUCUAAGAGAGACUGCUACAAUUUCUUUGAAAGAACAUUAGAUAUGAAGAACUGUUAAGUAUUACGAGGUUGCUAACAGGCCAUUGCUAUGCCAUUUGAAUAACUUUUAUAUUUUUUGUAGGAAACAUUGUAAUGUUUACUAUCUGUAGGGAAAACCAAAUGUUAGACAGUUGCCUGGGAAAUUAUGUUAUGUGCUUUAUGGGAGAGCAGAGGUUCUAGUUCUGGGCCAGUCUUAGAGUUUUGCACUGCAGAUGUGUGGUAGAUGUCUAUUUAAUUAAAUUGGUUUUGCUAAGCAAUUGACCCAAUCAGGGAUGGUUCAAUCCAUUAGGGUUCUCUUCUUUUUUCUUCUUCUUCUCCCUUCUCCUCCUUUCUCCUCCCUCCUCCCCCUCCCGCUCCUCCUUCACCUCCUUCUUCCUCCUCUUCUCCUUCUCCCUCUCCCCCUCCCUCCUCCUCUCCUCCUUUUUCUUCUUCUUAACUCAUUUAAGGCCCCAGGUGACUAUUUAGACACUUAGUCUUGCUUGGCUCAUUUACUAUAAUCCGAUUUUUAAAAGGUAUCACUAAAUCAAUACAAAUCCAACUCUACCACUGAGAUCAAGGUAGAAAUGCUCCACCAGUUUAAUGGAAGUUCGUUCCAGUUAGUCUGCACAGCACUGAACAUAUACAUAGAAAACAACAGUAUUACAUAACAUAAAUGUCAUGGCCACAGGUUCCAGUUAUGAGACGAAUUUCCUUUCUUUUUUUUUUUUUUUUUAAGAUUUUAUUUAUCUCUUUGAGAGAGAGGAGCACACAAGCAGGGGGAAAGGCAGAGGGAGGGGGAGAAGCAGACUCCCUGCUGAGCAGGGGGCUCGAUGUGGGACCCUGGGAUCAUGACCGGAGCCGACGGCAGACGCUUAACCAUCUGAGCCACCCAGGCGCCCCUCCUUUCUUCUCCUUUUGUAUGAGGGUUGAAUGUCAGCAAAAUAGAAGGCACUUAUUCAGGGUGAUAUUUUAGUUACUGCUCUUUGGUCACGGGUGAGUUACUGUGCUGUACAUUCAUGUCAAAACCAACUUGUGUUAAAUGAGCUGAAUACAGCUUGCCACACGCUUUUUAAAUGGAUUUUUGUCAAUCUAUUAUUUCCAACAUUUAAAAGGGGGAUUAUUUUCGAAAAUAAAACACAGCAAAACAUUUACCUGUAAUGAUACCAAAUUCGUAAGUAAAAUGAGCUGUGUGUAGUAUCAUAA
Molecule: long non-coding RNA, 1693 nt
Organism: Ailuropoda melanoleuca (giant panda)
Lineage: Eukaryota; Metazoa; Chordata; Mammalia; Carnivora; Ursidae
Exons: 2
Source: RefSeq, a predicted model, not a curated record